This 211-nucleotide ribosomal RNA is filed under the name uncultured bacterium. Its description in RNAcentral is "partial 16S ribosomal RNA". It matches the Rfam family "Bacterial small subunit ribosomal RNA", at positions 524 to 724 of the family's 1533-position model. The record is from RNAcentral.
UACGGAGGGGGCUAGGCGUUGUUCGGAAUUACUGGGCGUAAAGGCGCGCGUAGGCGGCUUUGGUAAGUUAGAGGUGAAAGCCCGGAGCUCAAACCUCCGGGAAUUGCCUUUAAGACUGCAUCGCUAGAAUCAUGGAGAGGUGAAGUGGAAUUCCGAGUGUAGAGGUGAAAUUCGUAGAUAGUUCGGAAAGAACACCAGUGGCGAAGGGCGG